UCGGCGCAGUAGCAGCGAGCAGCAGAGUCCGCACGCUCCGGCGAGGGGCAGAAGAGCGCGAGGGAGCGCGGGGCAGCAGAAGCGAGAGCCGAGCGCGGACCCAGCCAGGACCCACAGCCCUCCCCAGCUGCCCAGGAAGAGCCCCAGCCAUGGAACACCAGCUCCUGUGCUGCGAAGUGGAAACCAUCCGCCGCGCGUACCCCGAUGCCAACCUCCUCAACGACCGGGUGCUGCGGGCCAUGCUGAAGGCGGAGGAGACCUGCGCGCCCUCGGUGUCCUACUUCAAAUGUGUGCAGAAGGAGGUCCUGCCGUCCAUGCGGAAGAUCGUCGCCACCUGGAUGCUGGAGGUCUGCGAGGAGCAGAAGUGCGAGGAGGAGGUCUUCCCGCUGGCCAUGAACUACCUGGACCGCUUCCUGUCGCUGGAGCCCGUGAAGAAGAGCCGACUGCAGCUGCUAGGGGCCACUUGCAUGUUCGUGGCCUCUAAGAUGAAGGAGACCAUCCCCCUGACGGCCGAGAAGCUAUGCAUCUACACCGACAACUCCAUCCGGCCCGAGGAGCUGCUGCAAAUGGAGCUGCUCCUGGUGAACAAGCUCAAGUGGAACCUGGCCGCCUUGACCCCGCACGAUUUCAUUGAACACUUCCUCUCCAAAAUGCCAGAGGCGGAGGAGAACAAACAGAUCAUCCGCAAACACGCGCAGACCUUCGUUGCCCUCUGUGCCACAGGUAGGGCAGGCCCGGCAGCCCCCGGCCUCCCCUUGACAGCCGGCUCCUUAGGUGACCCUGGCCGGCUUCUUGCUCUCCACCUGGGUGCUGUCUGGGAAGAUGUCCCCAGGCCCCCUCCUGCGCUGGAAAGCGCUCUUCCAGCUCUGGUGAGCAGAGGCCCUGGAUUGUUUGUCGCGCUGGAUGGAGGGGGAUUUGCU
RNAcentral lists this small RNA (920 nucleotides) under Pongo abelii (Sumatran orangutan). RNAcentral's name for it is "retained intron". The record is from RNAcentral. Lineage: Eukaryota; Metazoa; Chordata; Mammalia; Primates; Hominidae.